RNAcentral lists this transfer RNA (74 nucleotides) under Elusimicrobia bacterium CG06_land_8_20_14_3_00_38_11. Its description in RNAcentral is "tRNA-Val". It matches the Rfam family "tRNA". Rfam says of the family: Transfer RNA (tRNA) molecules are approximately 80 nucleotides in length. Their secondary structure includes four short double-helical elements and three loops (D, anti-codon, and T loops). Further hydrogen bonds mediate the characteristic L-shaped molecular structure. tRNAs have two regions of fundamental functional importance: the anti-codon, which is responsible for specific mRNA codon recognition, and the 3' end, to which the tRNAs corresponding amino acid is attached (by aminoacyl-tRNA synthetases). tRNAs cope with the degeneracy of the genetic code in two manners: having more than one tRNA (with a specific anti-codon) for a particular amino acid; and 'wobble' base-pairing, i.e. permitting non-standard base-pairing at the 3rd anti-codon position. The record is from RNAcentral. Lineage: Bacteria; Pseudomonadati; Elusimicrobiota.
GGGUGCGUAGCUCAGUUGGUUAGAGUACCACGUUGACAUCGUGGGGGUCACAGGUUCAAAUCCUGCCGCACCCA